This 325-nucleotide ribosomal RNA is filed under the name uncultured bacterium. RNAcentral's name for it is "bacterial SSU rRNA". It matches the Rfam family "Bacterial small subunit ribosomal RNA", at positions 28 to 334 of the family's 1533-position model. The record is from RNAcentral.
GACGAACGCUGGCGGCGUGCCUAACACAUGCAAGUCGAACGAGAAAUCCAUGUGUGAUCCCUUCGGGGUGAACAUUUGGAUGGAAAGUGGCGGACGGGUGAGUAACGCGUGAGCAACCUACCCUAGAGAGGGGGACAACACAGAGAAAUUUGUGCUAAUACCGCAUAACGAGUGUGAAUCGCAUGGUUUACACUCCAAAGAUUUAUCGCUCUAGGAUGGGCUCGCGUCCGAUUAGAUAGUUGGUGAGGUAACGGCUCACCAAGUCGACGAUCGGUAGCCGGACUGAGAGGUUGAACGGCCACAUUGGGACUGAGACACGGCCCAG